AUGCAGCUUGUUCGGACCGGGAGCACGACAAUCAACAUUGGGGAGUUCGGCCCCUUCUUCAAGUCCUUGUGCGGGGUCAGGCAAGUGGAUCCUAUUUCCCCUCCCCUUUUCAACCUCGUGGUGGACGCCCUAGCGAUCAUCCUCGAUAAGGCGAGGAUGGACGGCCAUCUCACCGAGGGUGGUGGGUCACCUUAUCCCUGGGGAGGAGUCACUUACCUAGAAUAUGCGGAUGAUACCAUGAUUAUGGUUGAGGGCUAUGACCUGGGCAUCGUCAAUCUGAAAUUCCUCCUCCUUUGCUUCGAAGCCAUGUCUGGGCUUAAGAUAAAUUUGUUGGAAAUGUGCCCUAGAGGCAAUAAUAAAAUGGUUAUUAUUAUAUUUCCUUGUUCAUGA
RNAcentral lists this ribosomal RNA (390 nucleotides) under Triticum aestivum (bread wheat). RNAcentral describes it as "partial small subunit ribosomal RNA". Lineage: Eukaryota; Viridiplantae; Streptophyta; Magnoliopsida; Poales; Poaceae. The record is from RNAcentral.